CAUGGUUUAGUGGGCGACAUUGGUAGUAAGGGGAUGGUUGGACCAGAUGAUCUGGGAGGUCUUUGCCAACCUGAAUGGUUCUGUGAUUCUGUGUAACAAUACAGCCAAGGAGCUGCCUGCUGUGGGGACACCUCUCCCUGAAGAGGGACCAGCCGGGGGGGCUGCGGCCACAGGGAGCCCCCCCGGUUACCUCAGACCGCGCUGAGGCGAGGCCCCGGCGCCUCUCAGGGGGGAGCCUCCCCUCAGCGCUCCCUCUCCUGCCCGCCCGGCUCAGCAACAGGUCUGUGCCGGGGGCGGAGAAGGGGGCUGUGUGUGUGUGUGUGUUUUGGGGGGGGGACCCCGCUUCUCCCCGCGGCGUGCCAGGCCCCCAGGCGGCGUGCCAGGCGAACAAAGGGGCCGAGCGCGGAGCGGGCUCCCGCGUUCAGCCAUUUGCAGCGCCCCGCCGCUCCCCACCCCCUUCCUCCCCCUUCCCCGCCGGCGCAGGCUCCGGCUCGCCUCGGAGCCGCCACCACCGCCAGCACCACACCACCACCGCCAGCACCACGCCGGGCCCGAGGUGGGGCCGGGCCGGCUGCGGGCUGUGGGCUGCGGGGCGGGGCGGGAGGCGGGCGGGCAGCCCUGCGGGAGCCCUGCCGGGAGCGCCGCGCUGCUCAACGCCCGUCUCCGCGCUGCCGCAAGUGGGAGUGCAUAUAAGGAGCAGUGAGAUGAAGAAACCUCUGUGAUGUUCAUGCCAAGGAGACUUUGGCUCAUGGGGAAUCUCCUUCUAGAACAGACUGCAACCACUCUCUUCCCCUGAAAUAGCUGCACAUGGUGAACAAGCUAUGAUAGUACUCCUAACUCUCUGACUUCAAAGGACAUUUCUUUCUCAUUGCCCAGUGCAGUGGGGGACUGGUUGUCACAAAAGGAUGCUGCGCAUAAAAACUUCAUAAAAUUUUUCAUAUAAUAACAGGAAAACCAGAACAGCUUUUCAGGCUGUCGAGGUGCGAUACCAACACCGGGAAGAGGUUUAGGCUCUCACCGACAGCAUCUGACAGGGGAGAACGAAGGUGGUGCAGGCUGGGCCGCGGAGGCUCAGUGCUCUGCGCUGUUCCCCGCAGGUGAUGGGCAUAGCGGUGUGGCCGAGAGCCGUCCCCUGCGGCGCCGCGCAGGGCCAGAGCAGCUAGCCUGG
RNAcentral lists this long non-coding RNA (1168 nucleotides) under Anas zonorhyncha (Eastern spot-billed duck). RNAcentral's name for it is "lncRNA (ENSAZOG00000012028.1)". Lineage: Eukaryota; Metazoa; Chordata; Aves; Anseriformes; Anatidae. The record is from RNAcentral.